RNAcentral lists this ribosomal RNA (1344 nucleotides) under metagenome. RNAcentral's name for it is "bacterial SSU rRNA". It matches the Rfam family "Bacterial small subunit ribosomal RNA", at positions 31 to 1372 of the family's 1533-position model. The record is from RNAcentral.
AAACGCUGGCGGCAUGCCUUACACAUGCAAGUCGAACGGCAGCACGGGAGCAAUCCUGGUGGCGAGUGGCGAACGGGUGAGUAAUAUAUCGGAACGUGCCCAGUCGUGGGGGAUAACGCAGCGAAAGCUGUGCUAAUACCGCAUACGAUCUAUGGAUGAAAGCGGGGGAUCGCAAGACCUCGCGCGAUUGGAGCGGCCGAUAUCAGAUUAGCUAGUUGGUGGGGUAAAAGCCCACCAAGGCGACGAUCUGUAGCUGGUCUGAGAGGACGACCAGCCACACUGGAACUGAGACACGGUCCAGACUCCUACGGGAGGCAGCAGUGGGGAAUUUUGGACAAUGGGCGCAAGCCUGAUCCAGCAAUGCCGCGUGCAGGAUGAAGGCCUUCGGGUUGUAAACUGCUUUUGUACGGAACGAAACGGUCUUCUCUAAUACAGAGGGCUAAUGACGGUACCGUAAGAAUAAGCACCGGCUAACUACGUGCCAGCAGCCGCGGUAAUACGUAGGGUGCGAGCGUUAAUCGGAAUUACUGGGCGUAAAGCGUGCGCAGGCGGUGAUGUAAGACAGAUGUGAAAUCCCCGGGCUCAACCUGGGACCUGCAUUUGUGACUGCAUCGCUGGAGUGCGGCAGAGGGGGAUGGAAUUCCGCGUGUAGCAGUGAAAUGCGUAGAUAUGCGGAGGAACACCGAUGGCGAAGGCAAUCCCCUGGGCCUGCACUGACGCUCAUGCACGAAAGCGUGGGGAGCAAACAGGAUUAGAUACCCUGGUAGUCCACGCCCUAAACGAUGUCAACUGGUUGUUGGGUCUUCACUGACUCAGUAACGAAGCUAACGCGUGAAGUUGACCGCCUGGGGAGUACGGCCGCAAGGUUGAAACUCAAGGGAAUUGACGGGGACCCGCACAAGCGGUGGAUGAUGUGGUUUAAUUCGAUGCUACGCGAAAAACCUUACCCACCUUUGACAUGUAUGGAAUCCUUUAGAGAUAGAGGAGUGCUCGAAAGAGAGCCAUAACACAGGUGCUGCAUGGCUGUCGUCAGCUCGUGUCGUGAGAUGUUGGGUUAAGUCCCGCAACGAGCGCAACCCUUGUCAUUAGUUGCUACAUUUAGUUGGGCACUCUAAUGAGACUGCCGGUGAUAAACCGGAGGAAGGUGGGGAUGACGUCAAGUCCUCAUGGCCCUUAUAGGUGGGGCUACACACGUCAUACAAUGGCUGGUACAAAGGGUUGCCAACCCGCGAGGGGGAGCUAAUCCCAUAAAACCAGUCGUAGUCCGGAUCGCAGUCUGCAACUCGACUGCGUGAAGUCGGAAUCGCUAGUAAUCGUGGAUCAGAAUGUCACGGUGAAUACGUU